Helianthus annuus (common sunflower) is the source of this 557-nucleotide long non-coding RNA. RefSeq lists it as uncharacterized. The record is from RefSeq and is a predicted model, not a curated record. The transcript is spliced from 3 exons. NCBI's taxonomy places the organism in Eukaryota, Viridiplantae, Streptophyta, Magnoliopsida, Asterales, Asteraceae.
UUUUGGUUGCAGAGUAUGCAUACACUCUAAAAGUUUCGUUUUUUUACUUCGGUUUCUUAUUAUAUGUACCAGCUACGUAUCUAUUUGGUUAUAAAUUAUCCCUAGGUUUAUCUUUGUAUUUGGUUUGUUUUUAUAUGUACCAAAUCAUCCCUAGGUUUGUAUACUCAUACAUGCCAAAGUACAUGCUAAAGUAUAUUUAUAUAUGCAGAUGUGAGUGUGUGAAAAACCUGGUACCUGAUCAAAAAUUGUUAAAAAGGAUAUGUUCAGGGUAUGCUAAUUACAUGUAAAACUAUAUGAUUCCAUCGCAACAGCUUGGCUAGAUGGAGUUUUUGGUCAAAUGUCAAGGAGGGCAAGUUUUAACUUUUGAUGAAAUAGCACUGGACUACAACAUAGUAUCGUUAUUAAGUUUUACUCUUAUCUUUUUAAUUUUUUCUAUUGAUUUGUAGUCACAAUGGCUUCGGUACAACCCACCUAUUGAUAUUUUUAUGAUGUUUUUUCCUUUUGAAUUAUGUUUCAAGCCCAUUUUCAUUUUACUUUUAUAAAUUAGGUUAUUAAUC